This 499-nucleotide ribosomal RNA is filed under the name uncultured bacterium. RNAcentral's name for it is "partial 16S ribosomal RNA". It matches the Rfam family "Bacterial small subunit ribosomal RNA", at positions 30 to 523 of the family's 1533-position model. The record is from RNAcentral.
AUUGAACGCUGGCGGCAUGCCUUACACAUGCAAGUCGAACGGUAACAGGUCUUCGGAUGCUGACGAGUGGCGAACGGGUGAGUAAUACACCGGAACGUGCCUAGUAGUGGGGGAUAACUACUCGAAAGAGUGGCUAAUACCGCAUGAGAUCUACGGAUGAAAGCAGGGGAUCGCAAGACCUUGUGCUACUAGAGCGGCCGAUGGCAGGUUAGGGUAGUUGGUGGGAUAAAAGAUUCCCAAGACGACGAUGUGUAGCUGGUCUGAUCGGAAGAUAAGCAACGCUGGGACGGAGACGCGGCCCAGACUCCGACGGGAGGCAGCAGGGGGGAAUGUUGGAGAAUGGGCGCAAGCCUGAUCCAGCAAUGCCGCGUGCAGGAUGAAGGCCUUCGGGUUGUAAACUGCUUUUGUACGGAACGAAAAGCCCUGGGUUAAUACCCUGGGGUCAUGACGGUACCGUAAGAAUAAGCACCGGCUAACUACGUGCCAGCCGCCGCAGUAA